GAUCAGGCGGAGCAUGAUGCCAGGAUGAAAGUGGUGCUGCAACAGUUGAAUGCAGCCAACUUGCAGAUCAAUUGGAACAAAUGCGACAUGCGUCAAACACUUGUGAAAUAUCUGGGGCAUUGGUUGACUGACCAAGGAGUAUGUCCAGAUGCCGACAAGAUGUGAGUCAUGAAGGACAUGCUCUGUCUUCAAUCAGUUACUGACGUGCGACGGUUCUUAGGGAUGGCUACAUACCUCAGGAAGUUCAUCCCAACCCUCUCACAGGCCACCCAAUCACUUUGUGAAUUGGCCAAGAAGGACCCGUUUGUAUGUGACCAGGCAUUGGAGAAUGUAUUCAAUGAGUGAGAGAGAGAGAGAGAGAGAGAGAGUGAGAGAGAGAGAGAGAGGAGGAGGAGGAGAGAGAUGCUGGGAAUAGUGUUUGCUAUAACUCGAUUUUGCCAGUAUGUGUUAGGGCAAAAUGUGCAAGUAUUUGCAGAUCACAAGCCUUUCAUCCACAUCAUUUAUAAGCCCUUGAUGAGGUGCCUCCUCGUCUGCAGCGGUGGAUGGUGGCUCUAAUGCCAUACCAGUUUUCUCUCAGCUACAAGCCUGGGCAGCAUUUCUAGUAUGUGCUGAUGCUUUCUCCAGAGCACCACUACUUGAGCCAAGUCCAAUGCCUGAAGAGUGUUGGGGUUUUGGUGAGUAUAUCAGUAUGGUGCUAGAAGAAAGGAAGACUGCCUUCUGUCUAGUGUCAUGCAAAGAGUUCUUACAAAUGGAUGGAAUGAAUGCAGUCGAUCAGAAGAAUCCUACUACCUAGUGUGGGACCAGUUGACUGUUGUAGAUGACACCUUGCUCUUGGGUAACAGGGUUGUGAUUCCGGAGGCUCUUUGUAGAUCAGUUCUUUGCCUGGCUCAUUUGCCUGGCAUCUUGGACUAGAGGCUUUUCAGGACUCAUUUAAGGGCUCGUGUUUGGUGGCCAGGCAUCACAAAAGAUGCAAAUAUUUUUGCAGAGCGUCGUGAUGUAUGCUGGCGCCGGCGACCAAAUCCCCCUCAACAACUCCAGCCAUCCGACUUGGAAGCCGUAUGGAACAAAUUGGCAAUUGACCUUGUGACUAUUGAAGGGAUAUCAUGCUUAUGAAUUAUUGAUUAUGGAUCACUUUUCUUGAAGUACUCCUCUUAGAGGAUACCACGGCUAAAGGUGUGAUAAACAAACUGAUGGACACUUUGGCAUGCCCUCUGUUUUGGUGUCAGACAACGGUCCCCAGUUUAUUGCCAGUAAGAUGAACCACUUCUGAAACAAUUGGGUAUUCAUCAUGUGAAGGCAAGCCUACGGUAUCCUUAGUCAAAUGGAAUGGUGGAGAGGCUGCAUAGAGUCUUACGGGAGAGACUGAAGGGACUUAGGCCCUUAAUUCCUUUUCAUAGCCGCCUCCAACAAACAUUGAUGGACAUCUGCAGUUCAACUAACCGAAUGCUGAACACAACACCCCCGGAAGCACUGUUUCAAAGGAUCCUUCACACUCGAGUACCAGAUUACAGGACUUCUCUUAUGGUGAAUCCUGGACAUCAGUCUCAGGCGAAAGCUCACAUGUCAACCGACCAUGACCUUAGAAGAGGUGUGUGUCAGUUACCAAGACUAAAAUCUGGUACGGUAGUUAUCCUUCAAGACGGCUAUACUAAUCCCACCAAAUAGUGGAGAGUAUUGGACCAAUACGGCCAUCAAGUGGGUGUCACAGAUGGGCGACGUAUCAUGCUUAGGAAUAGGAGACAUGUAAAGCAAUACAUUCCAGAAAUGACAGUAACACUUCCUUCAGCAACUGAGGUCAAAGCAGUAAUGGGAACAGGCCACAAAGAGCCAACCAAGCACAGCUACUCCUAUGAAUCCUACAGGACAAGUACCAACAAAUCAGUUUAUGGAUGUUACCCAAGGACGGUCUGGUUAGUUUUUCGGACACUAGCUGCUGAGGCAGCUACUUCACAAUCAACUCUGGGACGCUCCCUUUUUAAGAAAGGAGUGGUAACAUGAUCCGGACGUCAAGUGCGGUUAUCAGUAAGACCCAAAGAGGCAGGCAUGUGAUGAACACUUCGUUGAGUUGAGUUGGGUUGGGUUUAAAUUUUUACAAGGGGGUAUUGUAGUAUUGUAGUGUGGGACUACGAGGAUGGGAAGCAUGCGCAGUCGAUGAGUGGUGUCUUUGGCAAUACUAUCUAAAUACAUCAGUUUUUCGGCCAUUCUACAUGUACCAUGUUUCUAUAAGUUAUAUAAUAACACACACACACACACACACACACACACACACACACACACACACACACACACACACACACACACACACACACACACGCAAACACACACACACACACACACACACACACACACACACACACACACACACACACGUGCACGCACACAUGCACACACAGCACAUGUUUGUGUAUGUGUGCAGUUUUUAUUGUUUUUUUGACAGUGGCCGAUGCACUCAAAUUUGCUUGUUGAUGUUUAUGCCUCGAUUACUGUGCAGCAAUGUGAUCACUAUUGUUGUAAAGUAACAUGAUUCCAUCUUGUUUGGUAGGAUGUACAAUGUGCUACUCAAGCUAUGCACUCUAUGCAAGGGUUUGUAAUGUUAGGCUCUGAGCGAGGAGGAAUUCGUAUUGAAUAUGCCAAAAACAGAAUGGGGGACAAAGAGCCUAUUCAAUCCUUCUCUGGAUCAGACGACUAGUCAGCUACAGCAACUUGAGCUAAGCUAGUGACAACUUACGGAAUGGUUUGGAGCAGUGUGUAGUGUGAAAGUUGCUCGAUUAGUGAAGCUGUGUUGCUGUGCUGAAAGCAGAUGUCUAUGUUCUAAAAACUUUAGCUAAUUUUUGUAUGUUGGUGAGAGUUAGAGAGGGUGUGCCGCUGUAGUUGUUCAUUUUGCCUAUUUAUUGAGGCUCUUGGAUUUGCUUGAGUGUAUACUAUUUAUUUGGGAGCGUUGAACUA
Long non-coding RNA from Corticium candelabrum, 2946 nucleotides. RefSeq lists it as uncharacterized. The record is from RefSeq and is a predicted model, not a curated record. The transcript is spliced from 3 exons. Lineage: Eukaryota; Metazoa; Porifera; Homoscleromorpha; Homosclerophorida; Plakinidae.